UCCCUCUCAAGAUCAUACCUGGAGAGUUUCCAGUAGUCUACCAGUCUUGGCUAUGGGAAGGAGAGUCAAGCAGAGGUAUACCCAUUCUAUUUCUAGCUUGGGCAGUGGCUAGCGAGUGGAAGGCAAUCUGCUACUUGU
Molecule: small nucleolar RNA, 138 nt
Filed under: Ornithorhynchus anatinus (platypus)
Lineage: Eukaryota; Metazoa; Chordata; Mammalia; Monotremata; Ornithorhynchidae
Source: RNAcentral